RNAcentral lists this transfer RNA (85 nucleotides) under Dermacentor andersoni. RNAcentral describes it as "transfer RNA leucine (anticodon CAG)". It matches the Rfam family "tRNA". From Rfam's summary of the family: Transfer RNA (tRNA) molecules are approximately 80 nucleotides in length. Their secondary structure includes four short double-helical elements and three loops (D, anti-codon, and T loops). Further hydrogen bonds mediate the characteristic L-shaped molecular structure. tRNAs have two regions of fundamental functional importance: the anti-codon, which is responsible for specific mRNA codon recognition, and the 3' end, to which the tRNAs corresponding amino acid is attached (by aminoacyl-tRNA synthetases). tRNAs cope with the degeneracy of the genetic code in two manners: having more than one tRNA (with a specific anti-codon) for a particular amino acid; and 'wobble' base-pairing, i.e. permitting non-standard base-pairing at the 3rd anti-codon position. The record is from RNAcentral. Lineage: Eukaryota; Metazoa; Arthropoda; Arachnida; Ixodida; Ixodidae.
GUCAGGAUGGCCGAGCGGUCCAAGGCGCUGCGUUCAGGUCGCAGUCCGGUCUUCCGGGCGUGGGUUCGAAUCCCGCGUUCUGACA